This 428-nucleotide ribosomal RNA is filed under the name uncultured bacterium. Its description in RNAcentral is "bacterial SSU rRNA". It matches the Rfam family "Bacterial small subunit ribosomal RNA", at positions 356 to 775 of the family's 1533-position model. The record is from RNAcentral.
GAGGAAUCUUGCGCAAUGGGGGAAACCCUGACGCAGCAACGCCGCGUGGGUGAAGAAGGCCUUCGGGUCGUAAAGCCCUGUCAGGUGGGAAGAACCGCCCGGGUGCAAAUAGCGCCUGGGCCUGACGGUACCACCGAAGGAAGCACCGGCUAACUCCGUGCCAGCAGCCGCGGUAAUACGGAGGGUGCAAGCGUUACUCGGAAUCACUGGGCGUAAAGCGCGCGUAGGCGGUGAGGCAAGUCAGGUGUGAAAGCCCUCGGCUUAACCGAGGAAGUGCACUUGAAACUGCCUUUCUUGAGUACGGGAGAGGGAAGUGGAAUUCCCAGUGUAGAGGUGAAAUUCGUAGAUAUUGGGAGGAACACCGGUGGCGAAGGCGACUUCCUGGACCGAUACUGACGCUAAAGUGCGAAAGCGUGGGGAGCAAACAG